This 440-nucleotide ribosomal RNA is filed under the name uncultured bacterium. RNAcentral describes it as "partial 16S ribosomal RNA". It matches the Rfam family "Bacterial small subunit ribosomal RNA", at positions 338 to 795 of the family's 1533-position model. The record is from RNAcentral.
CCUACGGGUGGCAGCAGUGGGGAAUAUUGCACAAUGGGGGAAACCCUGAUGCAGCGACGCCGCGUGAGUGAAGAAGUAUUUCGGUAUGUAAAGCUCUAUCAGCAGGGAAGAAAAUGACGGUACCUGAUUAAGAAGCCCCGGCUAACUACGUGCCAGCAGCCGCGGUAAUACGUAGGGGGCAAGCGUUAUCCGGAUUUACUGGGUGUAAAGGGAGCGUAGACGGUGAUGCAAGUCAGAAGUGAAAGCCCGGGGCUCAACUCCGGGACUGCUUUUGAAACUGUGUGACUGGAGUGCAGGAGAGGUAAGAGGAAUUAAUGGGGUAGAGGUGAAAUGAGUAGAUAUAAGGAGGAAAAACAGUGGAGAAGGAGGAUUAAUGGAAUGUAAAUGAAGUUGAGGAUAGAAAGAGUGGGGAGAAAACAGGAUUAGAUACCCCGGUAGUC